GCGGCCCACAAGGGCAGUAGCUAGGAAGGCUGUGCCUCGCUGGGGGUUGGGUGAGACGAAACCAGGGAACCCCCCCCUCCAGGAGGCAUGCGGGACUCUGACCUCUCAUUUGGGGGUGCCCCCUAGCCCGCUCUACACACCUCCUCCCCCGCUUCCUACCCCACCCAAAUCUGCGCGCUCAAGAAGCAGCCAAACUUGAGAACUGUGCUGUUGCAUCCUCAGGCAAAUGAUUUCUUCUGUAAAUGUCUUCUUGGCAUGUCUAUGAAGAGACGUCCUCAGAGCCAAACUGCCUUUAUCUUCAUCAGAUCUGUUUGCAAGAGAUAAUCAUAGCUGACCAUGUUAACUGUGACCUACUUUUAUAUAAGGGGCACAGUGCAUCAUGGGACCUUCACAUGAGUAUCCAGGCACCCCUCCAAGCCAGCUGUAUGAAAAUCUAAUUGUACAAAGCCUCAAGGAGUCUGUGAUGGCUAAUCUUGGUUGUCAACUUGAAGACAUCUAGAAUCAACUGAAUCCCAAGCAGCUAGGUGUUGAGAAAUUUUCAUGAUCAAAUCAUCUGAGGUCAGAAGACUCACUCUAAAUCUGGGCUACACCUUCUGAUGGCAUCCCGCAUAAAAGGACACGAAAUAAGGAAAGUUUUGAUUUUUGCCUGCUUGUCCUCACUCUUACUGGCAAGUUCAUCUAGUCUGCUGCUGUGGCAUUCUUUCACUGGUGUUAGAACCUACUUCUUCAUGACUGAAGACUAUCUAAGAUAUCCAGCCAUGUGGACCGAAUAACUACUAAAUUUAUGGCCUUUUUUUUUUUUUUGGAGCAAUAGAUAUUCAUUGUUGGACUAGACAGACGACAGCCCGUUAGCCACUCUAAUAAAUUACCUUUAGUGUAAUAUUCUUUCUAUCAGUUCUGUUUCUUUAGAGAUCCCUGAUUAAUACAGAGAGGCUGGAGAAUAUAGAUGAGAAAAGGACUAGGGCAGGGAGCUCCAUCUAUGUAGCCUCAGGGAAGUUAUCAGCCAUACUGGGUACAGAUCAUCCGGUGUGGCUUAAGGCUACCCAUAUGACUACCUGUAACACCUCACCCAUUGCUAUGUAAUAAGCCUAACAAAGUCAUUGGUUUCU
RNAcentral lists this long non-coding RNA (1109 nucleotides) under Mus caroli (Ryukyu mouse). Its description in RNAcentral is "lncRNA (MGP_CAROLIEiJ_G0003937.1)". The record is from RNAcentral. Lineage: Eukaryota; Metazoa; Chordata; Mammalia; Rodentia; Muridae.